Molecule: ribosomal RNA, 253 nt
Filed under: uncultured bacterium
Lineage: Bacteria
Description: partial 16S ribosomal RNA
Rfam family: Bacterial small subunit ribosomal RNA
Source: RNAcentral
UACGAAGGGGGCUAGCGUUGCUCGGAAUCACUGGGCGUAAAGGGCGCGUAGGCGGGUCGGCAAGUCAGGGGUGAAAGCCCGCGGCUCAACCGCGGAAGGGCCUUUGAUACUGCCGGUCUCGAGGGAGGCAGGGGAGCGCGGAACUUCCGGUGGAGCGGUGAAAUGCGUAGAUAUCGGAAGGAACGCCGGUGGCGAAAGCGGCGCUCUGGUCCUCUUCUGACGCUGAGGCGCGAAAGCCAGGGGAGCAAACGGG